This 96-nucleotide transfer RNA is filed under the name Tangfeifania diversioriginum. It matches the Rfam family "tRNA". Rfam says of the family: Transfer RNA (tRNA) molecules are approximately 80 nucleotides in length. The record is from Rfam by way of RNAcentral. Lineage: Bacteria; Pseudomonadati; Bacteroidota; Bacteroidia; Marinilabiliales; Prolixibacteraceae.
CCCGAUGUAGCUCAACGUGAAGAGCGUCUGUUUAUUCUUUUAAAACUUUACAAGAAAAAAUGCAGGAGGCUGCAGGUUCGAAUCCUGUCAUCGGGA